RNAcentral lists this ribosomal RNA (253 nucleotides) under uncultured bacterium. RNAcentral's name for it is "partial 16S ribosomal RNA". It matches the Rfam family "Bacterial small subunit ribosomal RNA", at positions 524 to 776 of the family's 1533-position model. The record is from RNAcentral.
GACGUAGGGGGCCAGCGUUGCUCGGAAUUACUGGGUGUAAAGGGUUCGUAGGCGGUGUGGCAAGUCGGGGGUGAAAUCUCUGGGCUCAACUCCGGGGCUGCUUCCGAAACUGCCGUGCUAGAGUGUGGGAGAGGCGCGUGGAAUUGCAGGUGUAGCGGUGAAAUGCGUAGAUAUCUGCAGGAACACCCGUGGCGAAAGCGGCGCGCUGGACCACUACUGACGCUGAGGAACGAAAGCGAGGGGAGCAAACAGG